This 861-nucleotide ribosomal RNA is filed under the name Salmonella enterica. Its description in RNAcentral is "partial 23S ribosomal RNA". It matches the Rfam family "Bacterial large subunit ribosomal RNA", at positions 161 to 1059 of the family's 2925-position model. Lineage: Bacteria; Pseudomonadati; Pseudomonadota; Gammaproteobacteria; Enterobacterales; Enterobacteriaceae. The record is from RNAcentral.
AAUCCAUAGGUUAAUGAGGCGAACCGGGGGAACUGAAACAUCUAAGUACCCCGAGGAAAAGAAAUCAACCGAGAUUCCCCCAGUAGCGGCGAGCGAACGGGGAGGAGCCCAGAGCCUGAAUCAGCAUGUGUGUUAGUGGAAGCGUCUGGAAAGGCGCGCGAUACAGGGUGACAGCCCCGUACACAAAAGCGCAUGUGCUGUGAGCUCGAUGAGUAGGGCGGGACACGUGGUAUCCUGUCUGAAUAUGGGGGGACCAUCCUCCAAGGCUAAAUACUCCUGACUGACCGAUAGUGAACCAGUACCGUGAGGGAAAGGCGAAAAGAACCCCGGCGAGGGGAGUGAAAAAGAACCUGAAACCGUGUACGUACAAGCAGUGGGAGCACAGGUUUACCUGUGUGACUGCGUACCUUUUGUAUAAUGGGUCAGCGACUUAUAUUCUGUAGCAAGGUUAACCGAAUAGGGGAGCCGGAGGGAAACCGAGUCUUAACCGGGCGUUAAGUUGCAGGGUAUAGACCCGAAACCCGGUGAUCUAGCCAUGGGCAGGUUGAAGGUUGGGUAACACUAACUGGAGGACCGAACCGACUAAUGUUGAAAAAUUAGCGGAUGACCUGUGGCUGGGGGUGAAAGGCCAAUCAAACCGGGAGAUAGCUGGUUCUCCCCGAAAGCUAUUUAGGUAGCGCCUCGUGAAUUCAUCUCCGGGGGUAGAGCACUGUUUCGGCUAGGGGGCCAUCCCGGCUUACCAACCCGAUGCAAACUGCGAAUACCGGAGAAUGUUAUCACGGGAGACACACGGCGGGUGCUAACGUCCGUCGUGAAGAGGGAAACAACCCAGACCGCCAGCUAAGGUCCCAAAGUCAUGGU